GACGAACGCUGGCGGCGUGCUUAACACAUGCAAGUCGAACGGAAAGGCCCUGCUUUUGUGGGGUGCUCGAGUGGCGAACGGGUGAGUAACACGUGAGUAACCUGCCCUUGACUUUGGGAUAACUUCAGGAAACUGGGGCUAAUACCGGAUAGGAGCUCCUGCUGCAUGGUGGGGGUUGGAAAGUUUCGGCGGUUGGGGAUGGACUCGCGGCUUAUCAGCUUGUUGGUGGGGUAGUGGCUUACCAAGGCUUUGACGGGUAGCCGGCCUGAGAGGGUGACCGGCCACAUGGGGACUGGGAUACGGCCCAGACUCCUACGGGGGGCAGGGGUGGGGAAUAUUGCAAAAGGGGCGGAAGCCGGGUGCAGCAACGCCGGGGGGGGGAGGACGGCCUUCGGGUUGUAAACCGCUUUCGCCUGGGACGAAGGGGGAGUGAGGGUAAUGGGAAAAGAAGCACCGGCUAACUACGU
Molecule: ribosomal RNA, 467 nt
Filed under: uncultured bacterium
Lineage: Bacteria
Description: partial 16S ribosomal RNA
Rfam family: Bacterial small subunit ribosomal RNA
Source: RNAcentral